CCCUUAGAUGUUCUGGGCCGCACGCGCGCUACACUGACGAAUGCAACGAGCUUAUAACCUUGUCCGAAAGGUCUGGGUAAUCUCCAAAUUUCGUCGUGAUGGGGAUAGAUUAUUGCAAUUAUUAAUCUUCAACGAGGAAUGCCUAGUAAGCGCAAGCCAUCAGCUUGCGUUGAUUACGUCCCUGCCCUUUGUACACACCGCCCGUCGCUCCUACCGAUUGAAUGGUCCGGUGAAGCGUUCGGACCGUGGCCUUUGGACGGUUCGCCGUCUGUUGGCUGCGGGAAGUUCGUUAAACCUUAUCAUUUAGAGGAAGGAGAAGUCGUAACA
Molecule: ribosomal RNA, 327 nt
Filed under: uncultured eukaryote
Lineage: Eukaryota
Description: partial 18S ribosomal RNA
Rfam family: Eukaryotic small subunit ribosomal RNA
Source: RNAcentral